GAUGAACGCUAGCGGCAGGCCUAACACAUGCAUGUCGAGGGAGGAGCUUUCGGGCUUCGACCGGCGUACGGGUGCGUAACGCGUAUACAAUCUGCCUUUCACAUAGGGAUAGCCCGAAGAAAUUUGGAUUAAUACCUAAUGGUAUAUAGGAGUGGCAUCACAUUUAUAUUAAAGCUGAGGCGGUGAAAGAUGAGUAUGCGUUCUAUUAGCUAGUUGGAGAGGUAACGGCUCCCCAAGGCGACGAUAGAUAGGGGUUCUGAGAGGGAUAUCCCCCACACUGGUACUGAGAUACGGACCAGACUCCUACGGGAGGCAGCAGUGAGGAAUAUUGGACAAUGGUCGGAAGACUGAUCCAGCCAUGCCGCGUGCAGGAAGACGGCCUUAUGGGUUGUAAACUGCUUUUGCAGGGGAAGAAUAAGGACUACGAGUAGUUUGAUGACGGUACUCUGCGAAUAAGCAUCGGCUAACUCCGUG
RNAcentral lists this ribosomal RNA (474 nucleotides) under uncultured bacterium. Its description in RNAcentral is "partial 16S ribosomal RNA". It matches the Rfam family "Bacterial small subunit ribosomal RNA", at positions 28 to 507 of the family's 1533-position model. The record is from RNAcentral.